This 254-nucleotide ribosomal RNA is filed under the name uncultured bacterium. RNAcentral's name for it is "partial 16S ribosomal RNA". It matches the Rfam family "Bacterial small subunit ribosomal RNA", at positions 524 to 776 of the family's 1533-position model. The record is from RNAcentral.
CACGUAGGGUGCGAGCGUUGUCCGGAAUUAUUGGGCGUAAAGAGCUCGUAGGCGGUGUGUCGCGUCGGCCGUGAAAACCUGCAGCUUAACUGUGGGCUUGCGGUCGAUACGGGCAUCACUGGAGUUCGGCAGGGGAGACUGGAAUUCCUGGUGUAGCGGUGAAAUGCGCAGAUAUCAGGAGGAACACCGGUGGCGAAGGCGGGUCUCUGGGCCGAUACUGACGCUGAGGAGCGAAAGCGUGUGGAGCGAACAGG